RNAcentral lists this transfer RNA (86 nucleotides) under archaeon. RNAcentral describes it as "tRNA-Leu". It matches the Rfam family "tRNA". Rfam says of the family: Transfer RNA (tRNA) molecules are approximately 80 nucleotides in length. The record is from RNAcentral.
GUAGGGAUGACGGAGUCUGGUCAAACGUGCUGGGUUAAGGACCCAGUGGCUUAGUGCCUACGGGGGUUCGAAUCCCUCUCCCUACA